RNAcentral lists this long non-coding RNA (302 nucleotides) under Prunus persica (peach). RNAcentral's name for it is "long non-coding RNA (PPER_LNC007256)". The record is from RNAcentral. Lineage: Eukaryota; Viridiplantae; Streptophyta; Magnoliopsida; Rosales; Rosaceae.
AAAAAGUAGCUCCGUGAAAUCCGUAAAGCAAGAUCAGCUUUGAUAAAAAUAAUACUUGAAAACGCCGAAAGUGCCGACAGGCAUUAUCAGAGGCCACGUGAAGUUUUGGACUCUGGGAAAGAAAAAGAUAAUAUGGGGAUCUGAGAUAAUAUUGGGAUCCUGGAAACUGUAGCCAUAUUUCCUCCUAUAGAUAUUGCCUUUGCAAAACUUGAUUGGAGCAACUGCGUUUCAUCUUGCUCCUUUCCUGUUAUAAUAAUUGCGCACAUUCUUAAAAUUUGCACCUGUGGUUUUUACGUCUUUUC